Long non-coding RNA from Hyla sarda, 1426 nucleotides. RefSeq lists it as uncharacterized. The record is from RefSeq and is a predicted model, not a curated record. NCBI's taxonomy places the organism in Eukaryota, Metazoa, Chordata, Amphibia, Anura, Hylidae. The transcript is spliced from 3 exons.
AAAGAGCCUGAGCCUGAAUUACCCUACCUAGAAGCUUUUCCUAUUGGUGAAGAUAUAUGGGAUGAAGUGUGGUCUUUCUCUGGGGGUACGGUGACUCCGGAUGAAGCUUUAAAACCAACUGCACAAGACCUUGUUAAACAUCAGGAGGAGACGACCGUUCCGGGGAAAAUAAAUGACAUUCCGAAGAGAAGUGAUGGAGAACGUCUGUCUCAGCCUCUGGAGGAAUUCUACAUCUCUCUGAUUAAGUCGAGAAACGUGUCAGAGAAAUCUGCGGCUCUACGGUCUCCUCCGAGGAAGUGUGAGGAGUCUGAGAAGACUGUACAACCUGCGCCAGAUACUAAGGAUCCCUUCCUGCCUUUAACUCCAGAAAAAGAGAAUCUGCAAACGCAGGAUGAUAAUCUUCUGUUUUGUGAAUCCUCGAGUCUUAACCAAACAGCGGCAGCAUGUAACUCGCUAACAGGAUUCCAGAAAUUUCAGAUCCCAAGGAGAUCAGCAACAGUGGCCCUUGGACCGGCCGCGCGGUUAGCUGCCACGCCUGGAAGUCUCUCACACUGGGGAUACUGAGCUUAGGAGAUAAUUCACAAUGGAAACAUAUGCGUCUGAAUGUAAUAAUGUGUUUCCAGAAUGUUUUUUUUAAUAAUUUUUUCCUGAAUAAUUUUUUUGUUAGAGGUUUGGUUGUAUAUCUGUGAAGACAUUGGACCUGAGAUGUGAUAAGUCUGUAGUAGAGGUUGGUUGGUCUUCAAACGCUAUGGAGCAGAUUCUGCACAACUACAAGUUGUCAUAUUCCUGGGAAGAUAAUACUGCUAUAUAAUAGCUUGGGAAGAUAAUACUGCUAUAGCUUGGGAACAUAAUACUGCUAUAUUGUAGCUUGGGAAGAUAAUACUGCUAUAUAAUAGCUUGGGUAGAUAAUACUGCUAUAGCUUGGGAACAUAAUACUGCUAUAUUGUAGCUUGGGAAGAUAAUACUGCUAUAUAGUAGCUUGGGAAAAUAAGACUGCUAUAGCUUGGGAAAAUAAUACUGCUAUAUUGUAGCUUGGGAAAAUAAUACUGCUAUAGCUUGGGAAGAUAAUACUGAUAUUUUGUAGCUUAGAAAGAUAAUACUGUUAUAUAGUAGAUUAGGAAGAUAAUACUUCUAUAUUGUAGCUUGGGAAGAUAAUACUGAUAUUUUGUAGCUUAGGAAGAUAAUACUGCUAUAUAGUAGAUUAGGAAGAUAAUACUGCUAUAUUGUAGCUUGGGAAGAUAAUACUGCUAUUUUGUAGCUUGUGAAGAUAAUACUGCUAUAUUGUAGCUUGGGAAGAUAAUACUGCUAUAUUGUAACUUGAGAAGAUAAUACUGCUAUAUUGUAGCUUGUGAAGAUAAUACUGCUAUAUUGUAGCUUGUGAAGAUAAUACUGCUAUAUUGUAGCUUGUGAAGAUAAUACUGCUAUA